This 253-nucleotide unclassified non-coding RNA is filed under the name uncultured Nocardiopsaceae bacterium. RNAcentral's name for it is "contains 16S-23S intergenic spacer region". It matches the Rfam family "Bacterial small subunit ribosomal RNA", at positions 524 to 776 of the family's 1533-position model. The record is from RNAcentral. Lineage: Bacteria; Bacillati; Actinomycetota; Actinomycetes; Streptosporangiales; Nocardiopsidaceae.
UACGUAGGGUCCGAGCGUUGUCCGGAAUUAUUGGGCGUAAAGAGCUCGUAGGCGGCGUGUCACGUCUGCUGUGAAAGACCGGGGCUCAACUUCGGUUUUGCAGUGGAUACGGGCAUGCUAGAGGUAGGUAGGGGAGACUGGAAUUCCUGGUGUAGCGGUGGAAUGCACAGAUAUCAGGAGGAACACCGGUGGCGAAGGCGGGUCUCUGGGCCUUACCUGACGCUGAGGAGCGAAAGCAUGGGUAGCGAACAGG